GCGCGGGCCUCCGACCCCGCCCCCCGCCCCCCGCGCUCCGCGCUCCGGCGCCUCGGGUCGGUGGUCCCGGGAGGCGUGGGCUUCCGAAUGAGAAAGGAGCUGGAGGGGGACCCGGGGAGAAAGGUUGUCGCAGCUCUAGAGUGAGGGGAAGAGAAAGAGCAGUGGAAUGCUGGAGCCAGCUUGCACAGGCUAACAAGAAUGAAGUAUGAACUUGUCUUCCCAACUGUUCGUUCAGUGACAUCACAUGAUAGAUUGAAAUCAGCUGUCAUGGGACUUUGUUCACCAAGGAUUUGUUUGUGGAACAGAUGCCAGCUGAUCCAAUUGCAUUGCUAGUUGCACCGGGAAUGAUGGUUUUACAGGAUGGUUGUGGAACAGUUCUGAG
This is a long non-coding RNA of Prionailurus viverrinus (fishing cat), 382 nucleotides long. RefSeq lists it as uncharacterized. The transcript is spliced from 3 exons. The record is from RefSeq and is a predicted model, not a curated record. NCBI's taxonomy places the organism in Eukaryota, Metazoa, Chordata, Mammalia, Carnivora, Felidae.